RNAcentral lists this long non-coding RNA (2046 nucleotides) under Gallus gallus (chicken). The record is from RNAcentral. Lineage: Eukaryota; Metazoa; Chordata; Aves; Galliformes; Phasianidae.
CACACUUUAUCCUCUAGCACUAUGAAAGAUGGAGCAGUUUGGUAUAAUAGUUUUACGAGAGUUGGAGCCACAGGGAAGUCAGCGGUCUUCACGUUUGGAAUGCAGAAGCUUGAGGUCACCAGGAAAGCCUUCUCCUGUGAUGGACACAGAGGGGUGCAUGUGUCUAAUAGUAGUUGGCAACUGGAUAUGGAGAAUGUAAACAAGAACUUAUGCGGGAUGCAGAUUAAACGAGGGAAGUUCAUACACUUCCAUUUAUCUGUAACAAAUGAUGCUGAGUUUCAGCAUGGAUGAUGAUAAAAACUCCGAAACUAUCAUCUCUCAAACAAUCUCAUUGCUGUCCUCUAAAGGUUUGCCCACUGGGAUGUUGAUAUCCACUGAGCCCCUAAAAAUCAGCUGAUAGCAGUGUGAGUAAGUUCUGGGGUGCCAAAACCUCACUAAGAAGGUCACAUCUGGAAGAACUGAGAAGCGAACCCCACAGAAUUCAAGAUUGACCUGUGGUGGACUCCACUGUGUUUACUGCCAAUUUGGGAUGAUGCGUUGCUGUAAAGUGCUACCAAUAAAUGGGAAGUUUGGGCUAGCAGGAAAAGAACAGCAUGAUGCAAAACUAUACUCAGACCGGAGUGCUUACCAGUGUGUUUGCCAGACAGAAGGAGGUUUAUUUCCUUCUCAUAAGAGCUGCUAACUGCACUGCAGUGGUGGAAAUGACCGUGAACUUCAGAAUUCAAGAAGGCUGUUCUAAAAAAUACUGCAAAAAGUGUGAAAAUGCUCUAAAAGUAUAGCUGGUCAUCCUAAGUACAAAUGAGAGAUCUACAAGGUGUUAUUCCACCAGAGGAAGAUCCUGUACUCUGCAGUCCCACUACGGACCUGACUGUGGCAGAGGAGGAGCAGCCAUCUACUUACAGGUCAAUUCUGAAAGGGUACUCUGAAGCGCUGGAACAUUUAACUCACAGUGAAGAAAUACUGCCCAGCUUCUGUUCAACAUCAUCGUCAGCCGCUUGGUUGGGCGAUUCUGGCCAGUGCACAAGGAACUGUAGGAGCCCUUCAGUGAUUACAGGACACCACAGAUGGCAUCUGCAAGGCUGAACCAUGGGGAUGAUGCUGCCGUUUUUGCAGGCAAAAGCUAUAGAAAAGUGAAGCAGGAGUCCCAAGAAAAUGCCUGGACUCAUGAGAGCUAAUCACAGCAGGGUCAUAGGAGGCAGAUACGUUUGCAGGACUGAUGCAGAGCUCCAUUGCUCGAGGUGGAUCCUGAGGAAUAGUUGCUAUUUAUUGCAGCCCAAUGUAUUGGAAUUCAAAACCAAGGAGAUCGAUCAUCCUCGCAUCAGAUCUGAGGUUUGGUACAUAGUAUGCAUUUUUUGCAGUGUGGUGGAACAAAGCAAUUAUUUCACAGCUGAAGGAAAACCAGAAGAUAUUUAAAAAUGGAAAGUUCCCUUCCCAAGCCAUAAUGGAUGACGACGGUAGUAGAAGUAAUAUAUUCAGAGGGACCAAAACAGGAUAACAAUUUUUCAGAAGCUGAAGAAAUAUAUGAGGGAAGAAGAGAGAUUGAUACAGCAGCAUUGGAACCAGCUUUGUCCUUGGAUUGCAAGGGAAUGGAGAAAUGAGGUGUCUUCACAGAUCUUUCUUAUGUGACCAAGUGGCAGAAAAUGCUGCAGAAAUCUACUUCAGACAAUUCUUUCCAUGCACCUAACGCAGCAAUUACAGAGUCUGGUAAAACUGAGACAGAAAUUGAAAACAGGUUAUUCAUAAAGAAACAAGACGGAAAGUGCCCAAACAAAAAGUGAAAUAGUUCAGAACCUGCCAGAAUCCUGCUGAUCUAUCAAGCUAAAGAAAAUACUGGACAUCAGCUGCCUCUUAUAGAAAUUCUUCUCUAGUCUGUGAUUCCAUGAAACUGCUUCAUCUGCACACUGCUCAACAGAUCGAAGCUCAGCUUCCGUACUUGGAAGCUUCUGAUGCUUUUGACUUAUUUCCUGGAGAAGCAAUAAACUUGGAGAGCCAUGUUCUUGUUCCUAAUUAUAUAAGAAUUUUACUGCAGGAUGUGGCAAGAAUAUU